GGGCGGUUAGCUUAGGGGUUAUGACGAAAGCCGUUGAACCGAGGAACUAGGUAGAACAGUCGAAAACUGCCUAAAGCAUCGGGCUUUUAACCCGAGGGUCGCGGGUUCAAAUCCCGUACCGCCCGCCA
RNAcentral lists this transfer RNA (128 nucleotides) under Candidatus Freyarchaeota archaeon. RNAcentral describes it as "tRNA-Lys". It matches the Rfam family "tRNA". Rfam says of the family: Transfer RNA (tRNA) molecules are approximately 80 nucleotides in length. Their secondary structure includes four short double-helical elements and three loops (D, anti-codon, and T loops). RNAcentral also lists the same sequence under 1 other name. The record is from RNAcentral. Lineage: Archaea; Promethearchaeati; Candidatus Freyarchaeota.